RNAcentral lists this ribosomal RNA (514 nucleotides) under uncultured bacterium. RNAcentral describes it as "bacterial SSU rRNA". It matches the Rfam family "Bacterial small subunit ribosomal RNA", at positions 15 to 518 of the family's 1533-position model. The record is from RNAcentral.
GAUUCUGGCUCAGGAUGAACGCUAGCUACAGGCUUAACACAUGCAAGUCGAGGGGCAGCAUGGGAUUAGCUUGCUAAUCCUGAUGGCGACCGGCGCACGGGUGAGUAACGCGUAUCCAACCUUCCCCCUACUCAGGCAUAGCCCGGUGAAAACCGGAUUAACUCCUGAUAGUUUCACUAGAUGGCAUCUGACGGUGAAUAAAGCUUUGCGGUAAGGGAUGGGGAUGCGUCUGAUUAGCUUGUUGGCGGGGUAACGGCCCACCAAGGCGACGAUCAGUAGGGGUUCUGAGAGGAAGGUCCCCCCACAUUGGAACUGAGACACGGUCCAAACUCCUACGGGAGGCAGCAGUGAGGAAUAUUGGUCAAUGGGCGCGAGCCUGAACCAGCCAAGUAGCGUGCAGGAAGACGGCCCUAUGGGUUGUAAACUGCUUUUGUGCGGGAAUAAAGUCAGGGACGUGUCCCUGUUUGCAUGUACCGCAAGAAUAAGGACCGGCUAAUUCCGUGCCAGCAGCCGC